This is a long non-coding RNA of Cucumis melo (muskmelon), 800 nucleotides long. RefSeq lists it as uncharacterized. The transcript is spliced from 3 exons. Lineage: Eukaryota; Viridiplantae; Streptophyta; Magnoliopsida; Cucurbitales; Cucurbitaceae. The record is from RefSeq and is a predicted model, not a curated record.
GCGUGUUCCAUCCUUCUCCAUCUCCACAACUCUUCAUCUCUACCCGUCGCCGACUAUAGUUUUUUCCUCGCCAGUAACCCCACAUGACCCCAAUCUUCUUCCUCACUCAGUCCUCUUUCCGCCAGCAACCCCACGCAAAGGGCCACAAGUUUUUUCCUUUUAUCGCAACCCUUCCUUCUACCAUCGAAUUUCUUCACCGGCAACCCUCAUUAUCGACAGCCCCUUCAUCCAAUCUUCUUCUCACGAUUUUCUUCACCAAUUUCCUACCCAUUUUCGGUAGCACACAGACCCCCUACCCGAUUUCCUUCUACCCAUCUCGAUUUUCUUCACCGACGACCCUCGCUCGAACUUCUUCUCACUUAGAAUGCCCAUAAAUUUAAGAAAAUCGGCCUCACUCCCAUUAUCCAUCGAUUUCCUUCACCAUUGUAUAAUGGCUGAGCACAUCUGAAUGUUGCUUCAGAUUUUACGAUGUUCUGUUAUUAGUGUGAAUGCCUUGUGCUGUGCAUUUUAACACGAUCUCCACCGGCCAUCGUGCUCCAUCUCUACACCAUUCUCUCCAUUUUCGGACAACCGCUCACACAAACUUCGAAGGCAACUCACGACACUUCGACGGAAACCCACAACACUUUGACUCUGACCCACGACGAUUCACAACACUUCAACUCCAACGGCGAUCCACAGCAAAAUAGGUUUUCAAGGUUGAAGAAGAAAUUGACAUUCAGUUAAAGCUUAAGGAACUUGGUUGAUCUUACCGGCUUCUUGGGCCAAUCAACUCGAUGCAGAGUUUUUUCUUCUCCCGU